AACGGGUGAGUAACACGUGGGUAACCUGCCCAUCAGAAGGGGAUAACACUUGGAAACAGGUGCUAAUACCGUAUAACAAUCGAAACCGCAUGGUUUUGAUUUGAAAGGCGCUUUCGGGUGUCGCUGAUGGAUGGACCCGCGGUGCAUUAGCUAGUUGGUGAGGUAACGGCUCACCAAGGCCACGAUGCAUAGCCGACCUGAGAGGGUGAUCGGCCACAUUGGGACUGAGACACGGCCCAAACUCCUACGGGAGGCAGCAGUAGGGAAUCUUCGGCAAUGGACGAAAGUCUGACCGAGCAACGCCGCGUGAGUGAAGAAGGUUUUCGGAUCGUAAAACUCUGUUGUUAGAGAAGAACAAGGAUGAGAGUAACUGUUCAUCCCUUGACGGUAUCUAACCAGAAAGCCACGGCUAACUACGUGCCAGCAGCCGCGGUAAUACGUAGGUGGCAAGCGUUGUCCGGAUUUAUUGGGCGUAAAGCGAGCGCAGGCGGUUUCUUAAGUCUGAUGUGAAAGCCCCCGGCUCAACCGGGGAGGGUCAUUGGAAACUGGGAGACUUGAGUGCAGAAGAGGAGAGUGGAAUUCCAUGUGUAGCGGUGAAAUGCGUAGAUAUAUGGAGGAACACCAGUGGCGAAGGCGGCUCUCUGGUCUGUAACUGACGCUGAGGCUCGAAAGCGUGGGGAGCAAACAGGAUUAGAUACCCUGGUAGUCCACGCCGUAAACGAUGAGUGCUAAGUGUUGGAGGGUUUCCGCCCUUCAGUGCUGCAGCUAACGCAUUAAGCACUCCGCCUGGGGAGUACGACCGCAAGGUUGAAACUCAAAGGAAUU
This 825-nucleotide ribosomal RNA is filed under the name Lacticaseibacillus casei. Its description in RNAcentral is "bacterial SSU rRNA". It matches the Rfam family "Bacterial small subunit ribosomal RNA", at positions 101 to 911 of the family's 1533-position model. Lineage: Bacteria; Bacillati; Bacillota; Bacilli; Lactobacillales; Lactobacillaceae. The record is from RNAcentral.